UCUUCUGUUUUUUCUUAUUUUAUCUUACUUUACUUUUUCUUAUAUUUUUCUUUAAAAUUUUCUUUUCUUUUUCUUUCAGUUUCCCUUUUCCUUUUCUUUUCUUUUACUUUUUCUUUUACUUUAUUUUACUUUUUCCUUUUUUUUUUUUUUUUUUUUUUUUUUUUUUCUUUUUUUUUCUUUUUUUUUUCCCCUCUUAGUUCAGCCAAUCUCCGCCCCCCCCGGAGCUGCUCGGGCUCUGUGCGUGCCGCAGCGCGGUGCGGGGCCGCCUCCCGGUGGCUGCAGGCGGCACCGCGGGGGCGCCGCGUCCCGGGCCCGGCCCGGCCCUGCCCCAGCCGCCCGCGUCCUGUGCGGGGAUAACGGGGGGGGGUCCGGGGCUGCCACCUCGGAAGGCUGGGGGUGGCGGUGUCCCCUGGGCGGCUGUGGGACAGGCGUGCAGCGAAGGGGCUGGGUGGCGGCUCCUCGCCCUUGGGGUGGCCGCAUGGAUAGAUGCACAUCUCCAGGCUUCUCUUGCUGGGAACUGCUGGGUUAAGGCACAGAAAAUGGGUAAAAAUAAGGCCAACAGCUCCAGGGCUCUUCAGCCCCAUCUGCUGAGGCUGGGGGCAUCACCAACGCUGGGCUGAGCUGGGCUGAGCCUUGCACACCCAGCAGGACACAGAUUUGUUGGCAAUCCCCUCCUGCUGAAGCAGCCUCUCCUAAACACCAUCCUGAGCCUGUACACCUACUGCUACACCCUACGGCCAUGGGAUGCAAAUAACACCAGACAACCUGUCCUGGAUGGGCUGCCCACUUCAGCCUGGCUCAGGACAAGCGCAAGGCUCAAAUCAUGCAUGACCCCCUCCAGUGCCUUGGCUGUGCAGGUGGAGCUGCACCCCAUCCCUUUGCAGCCCAGGAGCAGCAGAGCUGGAGGAUUCGCAGCCCCGGUGGUGUUAAAGCUCUGCAGGUUGUGUUUUCCCAGUGCACCCCUUUGUCUGGGUGACCCAGGACUCAGGGAACAGAUGGAAUUUGCCCACAAGCUGGGCGGAGGAGCACAGACAUGUUCCGGGCCCAGAUUCGAUUUGAACGGAGGAAACCUUGAGGGAUGGAUAAUAGAAUUUGCAUCCUCGCCUUUGAAGCAUCCCUCGGAUGAGGGCCGUGGCCCCGUGUGAGACCUGUGGCUGCAAUGCCUUGCGUGAGGCAGAGAUGCAUACAGCAGAGAGGCCUCCUCACCUCCGUCAGCCUUGGAAAGCUGUGUUAAAGGUAGGGGAGAUGGAAACUGCUCUGGGUAGCUGCGAACACACAACGUGAUUGCAAACAGCUAUUGCAAAGCCUCUGCCCCAGUGCUUCCCCCCACUGCAGCUGGGCUGGGGGCUCCAAGGGUCCCUUCUGCCCCCGGCAGCCAUACAGAUGUCUCCCACACAUGGAGCACUGGGUUUCAGCUCCAACAUCUGCACGGGACAGCAACAGUCCUGGUGGGGGCUUGGUCCCCGAGAGCUCCCCGGGAAUUUUCCUGCUAGCACCGAGCUCUGCUCCCCUCCUGCCACGUCGGGGCUGCGCUCACCUGGGGUGGGAUAGGCAGGGCAGGCUCGUGCUGCGCCGUGCAGCUGGUUGAAUUUUCUUUACUUUCUUGGAAGCUCAGAGCAAAACAGUUAUUUUAGUUGUUGCAACAGUUCCCUUUUGUUUUUGCUUUGCUGACCAAAGCAGAUGGUUUUCAAAAACUUCAGGAAAAAUCUUCUGGUUUGCAUUACAGAAAACAAAACAAA
Molecule: long non-coding RNA, 1739 nt
Filed under: Anas platyrhynchos platyrhynchos (common mallard)
Lineage: Eukaryota; Metazoa; Chordata; Aves; Anseriformes; Anatidae
Description: lncRNA (ENSAPLG00000028518.1)
Source: RNAcentral